CCUACGGGUGGCUGCAGUGAGGAAUAUUGGUCAAUGGGCGCGAGCCUGAACCAGCCAAGUAGCGUGAAGGAUGACUGCCCUACGGGUUGUAAACUUCUUUUAUCAAGGAGUAAAGUGAGGCACGUGUGCCUUUUUGUAUGUAAUUUAUGAAUAAGGAUCGGCUUAAUCCGUGCCAGCAGCCGCGGUAAAUAGGAGGAUCCGAGCGUUAUCCGGAUUUAUUGGGUUUUAAGGGAGCGUAGAUGGGUUGUUAAGUCAGUUGUGAAAGUUUGCGGCGCAACCGUAAAAUUGCAAUUGAUACUGGCAGUCUUGAGUGCAGUUGAGGUAGGCGGAAUUCGUGGUGUAGCGGUGAAAUGCUUAGAUAUCACGAAGAACUCCGAUUGCGAAGGCAGCUUACUAACCUGCCACUGACAUUGAUGCUCGAAAGUGUGGGUAUCAAACAGGAUUAGAUACCCCUGUAGUC
Molecule: ribosomal RNA, 460 nt
Filed under: uncultured bacterium
Lineage: Bacteria
Description: partial 16S ribosomal RNA
Rfam family: Bacterial small subunit ribosomal RNA
Source: RNAcentral